This 7734-nucleotide long non-coding RNA is filed under the name Arabidopsis lyrata. RNAcentral's name for it is "long non-coding RNA (ALYR_LNC000663)". Lineage: Eukaryota; Viridiplantae; Streptophyta; Magnoliopsida; Brassicales; Brassicaceae. The record is from RNAcentral.
ACACAAUGGGUGCACAAGAACAGGAACAUGAGCCAAGUCUUGAUAAGGGAGACAAAACGGUUGCUCGAGAGCUGAAGGAUUAUUUGUUAGAGAUUCAAAGACACAUCGACCCUUCCAUUAGGCGAGGGGAAGAACCUAACACUGCAAUUAAUCACUCAGUAGAUGUCACUCCUCAGCCUACUCGGGUGAAUAGGACUGGAACACGCGGUCAAGACCAUAAUGAAGCAACGGUAAGUGUUAGAGAAUUUUACCUUAAGAUGCUUUCUAAAAGUCUUGUUCUUUAGGUCAUGAAUUUUUGGUUUAAUUGUGAAGCAGCAGGAUAAUGUAAAUGAGAAAGGUUCAGAUAGUCAGGGAACAUGGUCUAGCAGAAUUCGGCCUCGUCUACCAACCCCAGUUCCUCUGAAUGUAUCUCCGUUGAAGAUGGGCGGAUUGGCGAAACCCCAUGUCAGGAGGCCAAAGAAAUUCUGGACGCCAGAAGAAGUGGAAGCUCUGAGGGAAGGAGUAAAAGAGUAUGCAAACACUCUUUGCCUAGCCCCUUACUCUAUUAUCAAUAUUCACUAGUGAUACAUCUAGGGCCUCAUUAAGAUUAUAGCACUGUCAUUUUGUUGUUGUUGUUGUUGUGCAGGUAUGGUAAAUCAUGGAAAGAUAUAAAGAAUGGAAACCCUGCACUAUUCGCGGAGAGGACAGAGGUGAGCAUUUCCUUUCAAAAUUCAUACUCACCAUUUACUUGGACAAGAUAUAUACGAAGUGUGAGUGAUAUCAAUGUUGUAACUUGAUAGGUGGAUUUGAAGGAUAAAUGGAGGAACUUAGUCGGUGGGUAGAGGUAACAUCUUUUGUGAAUCUUGUGCUAUAGGCUUUUAAAAUGCUGUAGAGUUAUUUACUUUUGUGACAUAUCAACUGUGGAGAACAUGGUGGAGAUAGGGCCAUUUCACAUGUUGUGUAGUGAAUGAUAAUCAUGAAUGAGCAGAAAUAUGCAGAAUAUAAUGAUAUGCUUGUGGGAAAAAUUCUGGCUGCGACCUCUGUUGUCAGUCAGUGUCAAACUUAUACGGCUUUUCUUGUUUCGGAUAUAUUCCAUCCUUAUCUUCAAUUCCUACCAUUCUUCUCUCUCUCUCCUUUUCCACGUGUCAACUAACAUCUAAACCAGAACAAAACACUAGUCAAAAUAUGCAUAUAAUCAUUUUGAUCUAUGAUAUAGCCUGUUAACAUUGAGACCCUCCUUAGAUAUUGCCUGUUAACAUUUUAGACCCUCCCUAGAUAAAAAGCUAAGUAAGAUGAUGUGAGCUCUCAUGCACAUACUUAAUUGGUUAAUGCAUAUUUGUUAUGUGUUGUUAGUUUAUUACAGAACCGUGAACUCCUUGAGGGCUGCAGGAACUGGCUGCCAACAAAAAAAAAACAAUUGUUCAGCGGUGAUGUCACUAUCACUCUAUUCUCUACAACUUCUUGUCAUGUUCCCCACUUCUGUUCUGACUUUUCCCCUUUUCUUUGUCAUUUUAUUUUUGUUAACCUCAAUCUAUUUUGGAUUGCUUGUGUUCACCAAACUAAUAAUUGGUUCAAUUGAAAAAUGUGCAGUUUCCUCAAGAAACAAAACUCUUUCCUCUAUAUCGCAUUUCCUAGUAUCCACACUUUCUUAACUCUUAUCCUCUUUGCAAUUGUGUUUGUGGUUCACAAAAUAAACCAGGGCAUCUUUUUUUAUCUUUUGAGCAUAUUUUGCUAUGUUUUUCAAUGUGGUACACGUUUGAUGAUUUUUUUUCAAUGCUGUGGCUUGAGUAUUUUUAUUGGCAAGUAAGUUUUGUCAAACUUUGGAUUUUUUGAAUUACUACAAUGCGGUCAAUAAAAAUAAAUAUAUGGUUUUCUAUAAUAUAUGUGAUGCAAGCAAGGUUAAGGCAAUUGUCUUUAUUCAUUUUAUCCCAACUGGGUGAUUGACGCCAACGACUGUUCAACAUAUUUUCUGCUGACGCUUCUUUAAUGAAGUAGCAAGAAGAAAGUAAAUAGGACGACUUUUGGCCACCAGAAGUAUCUCUGUUUUAAGAACGAAAGUCUGUGUCCUCUUAAACAUUUCUGGGAUCAUCAAUUGGUUUUUGGUCAACCAUGAAUAUGAAUCAAGUUGCAGAGUAUGUCGAAACUGAUCCAACUGGUCGCUAUGGACGUGUAAGUAAGGAGACAGACUCUAUGUUCAUGGAUCAAAACCUUUUUGUAACACUUGGUUUUAUGGUGGCACAGUUUGCAGAAAUUCUUGGAAGGGGAGCGAUGAAGACAGUGUACAAAGCAAUCGAUGAGAAGCUGGGAAUAGAAGUAGCAUGGAGCCAGGUGAAGCUUAAAGAGGUUCUGCGUUCAUCUGUUGAUCUACAGAGGCUUUACUCCGAGGUUCAUCUCCUCAGCACUCUCAACCACAAAUCUAUCAUUCGUUUCUACACUUCCUGGAUUGAUGUUCAUAACCAUACUCUCAACUUCAUCACCGAGUUGUUCACUUCUGGGACCCUCCGACAGUAAAUUGCUUAAACCUCUUCUUCUGACAAGAUUAUUCAGCUUUUUAUAAUGACCCUGUCCCGUUCAUAUGCAGAUACAAAAAUAAGUACUUGCGGAUAGAUAUCCGAGCAAUCAAGUCCUGGGCUCGGCAAAUCUUGGAAGGGCUUGUUUAUCUCCACGGACACGACCCUCCUGUUAUCCAUAGAGACCUCAAGUGUGAUAAUAUCUUUGUUAAUGGCCAUCUUGGACAAGUCAAAAUUGGUGAUCUUGGUCUUGCAAGAAUGCUGCGGGACUGCCAUUCUGCACAUAGUGUCAUCGGUACCUUGUAAAAAUCCUUUGUUCUCACUUCUUCUCCACAUUAUAAGACCUCUUCGUGCUUCUUUUGCGUAGGCACUCCGGAGUUCAUGGCUCCAGAAUUAUAUGAGGAGAACUAUAAUGAGCUCAUUGACGUUUAUUCCUUUGGUAUGUGCUUUUUGGAGAUGAUCACUUCUGAGUUCCCGUAUAGUGAGUGCAACAAUCCGGCGCAAAUUUACAAGAAAGUUGUCGCGGUAUGUCUUUCGAUCUGUGAGCAUAUAAAUGCAGCUAUCAGUUGAACCAGGCAUGAGCCUUCUAAUGUUUUCUUCCAGGGAAAGCUACCAGGAGCCUUUUACAGAGUUGGAGACAUCGAGGCACAGAGGUUCAUCGGGAAAUGCCUCGUGUCUGCCUCAAAGAGAGUAUCAGCAAAAGAACUAUUGCAAGAUCCAUUUCUUGCCUCUGAUGAGUCCUGGAUGGUGUACGCGAGUGGUGCUGGGAAUCCAAAGCCCUUCUUGAACGAGAAUGAAAUGGACACACUGAAGUUGGAAGAUGAUGAGUUAAAGACACAGAUGUCCAUCGCUGGGAAGCUUGGCGCUGAAGAUAACAAAAUCGAUCUGGAAGUACAAAUCGCAUAUGAUAAUGGUAAAAGGGAUUAAUUUGAUGAGCUGGUCAUUUUGUUAUUCGGUCGCAUAAUUGUUUCUUUCUUUCCAGGUCUGGCAAAUAAUGUGUUCUUUCCCUUUGACAUCAUGAAUGAUACUUCCAUUGAUGUUGCAAAGGAGAUGGUAAAAGAACUCGAGAUUAUAGAUUGGGAGCCAGUCGAGAUUGCUAAAAUGAUUGAUGGAGCGAUUUCUUCUUUGGUGCCUGGUUGGAAGUAUGAGGAAGAUGAUGAAACCCCUCAUGAUCAUCAUCGUAAUCGUACCGAUCCUUUCCACUCUUCUUCCUCGCACUCGUCAUCUUCCCAAGCUUCACUCUCUAACUAUAUGGCACGAGGCCUUCAAGAUUGGGGACAAGGUAUGGAAAGUAAUACCAGUCUCAACGUACAGUGUGUGACAGAUGUUUAUAUAAAAGUUUUUGAGAUAAAAAUUAAAACUGCAGAUGAUUUACACGAUGAGACGUAUUCUCAGAGUUCUUCCCAUUCAGGGUCUUACUCCAACCUCAACUACAUAGCUGUUGAUGAGCACAGCUCCCAAUCUCCUGCUAUGAGCAGAACUCACAACUUGACGAGGUUUUGCCCCGAAGAAAGCUCUCAUCUGCAGUCAGGACAAGCCAACGCGUAUGCAGCUUCCAGUUCAAUUAACAGAAGCUUGGCUUCAGACAACCGCACACUUACAAGGAACCGAUCACUUGUAGACGUGCAGAGACAGUUACUGCACCGGUCGCCAGGGGAAGAGGCUAGAAAAAGAAGAUUGUUCAAAACUGUUGGAGACGUAGAAACAGUUGGGUUUCAGUCGCCUUAUGCGGUUUCACGUAAGCCACCAAGCUCAAGACGCUAGCUUCUCCAGUAUUUUAAUUACUGUAAAUUUAUUCAUGUAAUAUAUAAGUAUACUGUGAGAAAGAAGUUUGCUGGUUCAAAAAUGUAAAAAGUUCAUUGUGUUUAAUAAAGUUGUGCAAAGGCUGCGUCUGUGUUACAGAGAAAGAGUCCUCAGGUGAAAUGAGUAAAACGUAACCAUCUAUACCAGAACAAAACAGUAGUCAAAUAUGCAUAACAUAACCAUUUUGAUCUAUGAUAUAGCCUGUAAGAUGAUGAGAGCUCUCAUGCACAUAUAUGUACUGGUUAAUGCCAUAUUUGUUAUGUUAUUAAAUUAUUAGAUAUAUCACAAAAACAUAUAUGUUAUGUGUUAAUGAAAAUUUAGCUGACAUUGAAGGAUAGUUGAAAGUUUCUAGGUACGGUCUUGUCAGUGCAAGUGAUAGAUGAGCUUCAAGGUAGAUGCAUUGUAAUUCAAGCCACAGAGAAACGCCAUGUAGUCUGAUUUGCCUAAUUAAUAGACAAGUCCUGGAUUUAAAGCUGCUAUUGGGUCGACAUGUCCAACUCCAUAAGAAAAUUCGGUCGAUGCAAACCCAGACUCAGUAGCAUUCAUCGGCCAAGCUGCAAAGUGUAGUUAAAAGACUGAAUAAGAGCAGAGUUAUCAGCAUAAAUGUUACUUGCGGGACAAGAAAGUAAAAGAUGGAUAUGACUUUUGUUUACCGGUUGAUACCAUUCAGGAUGAAAUGUCUUGGGGUAAGCAGCCACGCCUGCAACGUGUGGACAAGCCAUUGAUGUUUCUGAGGUAACAGAGUAGUUCACACGUCAUUUGUCCCACUUUUGUGAAGAUUGGGAAACCAAAGGUAAACAAGCAGCGAGGAUUUCCACUCUUGGGGCUGUUAUAUCCGGCUGCAAUUCAAUCAACCAUUGUCUCUCAAACCGGGAAACAAAAGGGAACUAACCAAUUGAAAAAUUGUAAUUAGCCAAACUUGUAUGUCAAGGAUCUAAUAAAAGCCCAAAACUACAAAAGCUCAAAAACUUAUUUCUAUAUAUAUAUAACUCAGUCUAGGGUUUUCGUCCUCCAAUAUUUCUAUCGAAAACUUAGCAGUCGCUCUUCCCUUCUCAUCUUAUAUUCUCCAUGGGCGAGAGGCUUUUGAAAUGCUCCACAUCCACCGAUGUAAUCCUUUUCUCCUAAUGACCUUCUUCCUUACUCAGUCUUUUACUCAGACUGAACUUUAAUAUUGUUUCGGAUUUUUUUAUCUAGGUUGAAGCUACCACAGAGCCGUCGCAGAAUGGUAAGAUCUUGAUUGCUAUACUCUCUUUUUCUUUUUUGUUCUUGGUUUCGUUUUAUGCAUUCUAUAAUUGAAGAAAACCGGUAUAUAUUGUCUUGCAAUCUUGAUUAUAUGAAUUAUAAGUCUGAUUAUAGGUUGUUUGAUAUUUGUAUAUAUGUCUUAUUUAGAAGAACACCUGCUUAUAUGGAUUUGUGUUAUUUAUUUUUAUUUCUGAGAAAGCUCCAGAUGAUUUGGAGCAGCAAGUAUUUCCGAAGAAGCAAAAAAAGGUAAUAUUAUCUUAAGCUUUUGUACCUUUUUAUUGAAUUCAGUAGUACUUUUAAGAGCUUUGUAUUUUCUUAUAAACCAGAAAAUAUUAACCUACUAUUGAAAAUGUCUUUGUUUUUGAUCCAAAAUAAAAAAGGUGGAAGAAUAUAAAUGCAUUUUCGAAAAUAAAUCUGCAUAUGGACACAGUCACAGAAGCAUUCUCGUUCAGGGAUUAGAUUGUUCCCUUCCUGUGGCUGAUAUCAGGAGCGCAUUGAGAAAACACUUCGGUUCAUGUGGACAUAUCUUAAGUGUUUUUGUUCCGACAGAGUGUAAAACCGGUUCUCUCAUCGGGUUUGUGACUUGUUCCUCCAAUUUAAUUUGACAACUUGAAGUUAAAUGCAAUCUAAAUUUUUUACUUUUGUUUUUGUUUUCAGGUGCGCUCUCAUUAAAUACUAUAAUCCAAAUGAUGAAAAGAAGGCAUUAGCACUCGAUGGUAGUUUCUUGGGAGGUAGGCAGCUUGGGGUUGUGAAGAAUAAUACUGGAAGCAGUUCUGAUUUCUUUCCUAACUUUAAAGGGUGUGAACGUUGUGUCCUUACUCAAAGGAAGUACCUCCAUGACCAAUUCAUUGCAACUCGUGGUGGUCGUAUGAUGGCCAAGUACGUUUAUUUGUUCUUGAUUAUUGAACCCUAGUUAAAGAAGGUAACUGGUCAUUAUAUAGUUGUUAUUUUUUGCUCCUGAUAUUGCAGGCCACCUAAUUGGAUCCUUGCUAAAUGGGGCCUCGCUUUAACGGAAGAAGUUGAAGCAGAAAAACAGAGCUAAGAAUGGUCGUUUUACUGUUGUUUAUCGACAAGCUACUACUUGUUUAUCUUCUUAUGUUUUAUAAGAAAACUUGUAUUAUGUGGACUCUUGCUGCUAUUUAGUUUCAUAAUUUAUGCCUAAAUCAAAUGUUGAACUUAUAUUAUGAAAUUACAUUUUUAAGUUGAAAAUUCAAUUACUUAUAAUCGACUUAAUGAGAACUUUGACCUAAUUUGCUGAUUGGGCGGUUGCGAUCUAUAGUUGUUUGGUAGGUAUCUGUUAUGUCUUCAUUCCUACCUGCAGGUAGGAUACUUUUGUAUCUACCCAAGUUCUCCAUUGAUUUCUUUUUGCCAAGAAUUGUUGCGCUUCUCCCUCGAGUCAACAAAUGUAAACCACGUUGUUUAUUCUCUUCUUACAUUGGUCGCACUUGUUUGUUAAUGACACGUGUUUGUCACUCUUCCGACAUUCGAACCGUUAAUCAUCUUUGUCUUCCAGGCCCAACUAACUGUCCAUUUUCAGAAUAUAUCUGAAACCGUUCAGUGAUUGAGAGUUUUUCCUUAUCUCCGGCGACAUUGCAUCACCGUAACUCAUGACUUGUUGAAGUGGGAGACUGAUUUUAAGAAGGCCCUUGAGGAACCUGAGCUCUAUCAGCGAAUUCGUGAGACUAAUAUCAGGUACACUGCCAUUUCCUUUCUCACUCAGCUUCUCAAAGAACAGUGGGCAUUACUUGGGAGUUUCUCUCUUGAAUCAGUUUCUCAAAGAAGGUUUCUUUUAGGCAAGGCUGUGAACGUAGAGGGUGAUGUUGUUGAAAACAGAGGGGGCUGGGGGGGACGAGUCGCGUGGUGAAAGGGAGGACGUUAAUGGGAUUGAUAGAGAGAACGCUACUGAUGGUGAUGGAAUGGAAUGUCUGGAGAAUGAUGGGAUUGAUAAUGUGAAUGCAGCAGAGGAGGAGCACACAAUGAGUGCACAAGAACAGGAACAUGAGCAAAGUCUUGAUAAGGGAGACAAAAUGGUUGCUCGAGAGCUGGAGGAUUAUUUGUUAGAGAUUCAAAGACACAUCGACCCUUCCAUUAGGCGAGGGGAAGAACCUAACACUGCAAUUAAUCACUCAGUAGAUGUCACUCCUCAGCCUACUCGGGUGAAUAGGACUGGAACACGCGGUCAAGACCAUAAUGAAGCAAC